This 7086-nucleotide long non-coding RNA is filed under the name Homo sapiens (human). Its description in RNAcentral is "HSALNT0027154". Lineage: Eukaryota; Metazoa; Chordata; Mammalia; Primates; Hominidae. The record is from RNAcentral.
UCUUGCUUCACUGAUCCACCCAGAGCCUCCGUGUUUCCUGCUUCCUGCAGGUGUUAGGGGGAGCCCUACCUUCCACCCAGGAUGCCCAGAUCGGGAGGAUCCAGGUCAGGAAGGUCUGGAGGACAUUUGGACACAGACACAGGCCAUGUGAGCAUGAAGGCAGAGACUGGGAGAUGCAUCUAGAAGCCAAGGAACGUGGAAGAUGGCCAGCAAACUGCCAGACACAGAGGGAGAGGCCUGGAGCAGUCUCCCUUAUAGCCCCAGGAGGAACCAACCCUGUUUGCACGUUGCUGUUGGACUUCUGGCCUCCAGAACUGGGAGACAACACGUUUUGGUGGCUUAAGCCACCAACGAUAUUCAUGCAGCCCCUGUGGAGGUCAAGGGAUUUGUUCCAGAGCUCUGGGCAAGUCACUUUGCUUUUUGAGGCUUCCUAGCCUGUAAAGUGGGGAGUGGCAGCUGUCUGCAGCUGUCAAGAUCAAAUGAGAGCUAAGCCCCAGGGACACAUGGCAAGGAAGACAGAUGGGAGUGGUGGCAGUCGGGAGCCUCGGCGAGAUUCUAUCUGGUGCUGGGCUGGAGCCGGGGAAUGGGACCUUCUUCUGACAGCUCUCUGGCUGCUUCCGAUGGAAAAGAAGCUGAUCUGUGCGAUGCGGGCUUGAACCCACAUUGACCAGAGACUUUGCAGCCAGCUCACCCCUCCAAAUCCCCGCCCUGGAGUCCCUGACCCAGGAAUUUCUGCAUCAGGCUGCUCAAACCUGAAUUUGACAAAAUUUCAAAGCGCUGUAUCUUUAUGUUGAUAAGACAACGGAUAAAGUGCCAUACUUGGAACCUAGAUCACUCAAUGUUGCCUGUAGCUGAGUCCACUUCUGUCACUCACCCUGCAUUGCCCUGCCAGGAGCAAGGGAGAGAAAGCCAGCCAGAAGGCAUGGGCAUGGGCUCAAAUCUGGCUUCUCCUGUGGCCACUGUGAAAGUUGAUCAUACAAAGGUCACUGUUGUCAUAGCCAAGCAGAGUUAUGAGACCACAGGAAAAAGCACUUGGACCACGUAACAUUGCUCCAAGAGUAUAACUGUCUCCAACCCUGGCUGCUGGAACAAGUGUUGCAACCUGAAACCGGUUUGAUCUAAUAGCUACAGAAACAACCUGCGGAAAUCUAAGACUAGUUUCACCCACUCACCAAUCAGAGCUUGCCGGAUCCCCAAAACGUUGCUAGUGCUAAUGAACUUGCUUUCCUAACAAUCCAUAACAUUUCUCAUUUUUAUGAAACCUACAACCUUCUCUUUGCUCUUUGGACAUACUGAAGACCACCCAGUCUGUGUGUAUGCCCCAAACUGAAAUUCUUGCUCCCCAAAUAAAACAUUUUAAACUUAGAGAUUUGUCUGUAUAUUUUAUUUGACUUUGACAGCACCAGGGGCUCCGGCACAAAUCUCCUCCUUCAAGCCCUUUUCUACACAGUCCCGUGGGUCUACCCUGAAAGAAGCCUGAUGACGGCUCAAAGACACAAUGUUACUGGGAGGUAAAUUCAGGAUUACUUGACCGAAUGGCCCACCCGAGGUCACGGAGGCUGCUGGAGGAACAGAAAAUGGUCUUCACCAAGUGAAGCAUUGUCGGUCUUGGCCUGUGUCUGGCUGGAGAAUGUUAAAAUUCUGGGGACACAACAGAAAAGGCACAGUUGUGGGGACCAGGCCAAUGUCAGCGUGAGAACUGGCUCCAUCCCCCUCCCAUGAACCAGCUCUGCGGCCAAGGCAGGUCUGCAUUUCCUGGUCUGUGACACGGAGUCAGUAACAUUGCCUACUUCCCGGGGCUAUUUCCAGAGAAGUGAGGGAAUGGGUGUGGAACGCCUGCCAUCUGCGGAGCCCCGCAUGAAACGUCUCUGUCUUUCCAGCCAGCCCUGAGCCAGGGAAGGGACUGGAAGCACAGCGGGUGGCUGAGGCGGGCUUUCGGCAGCUUACCCCCAGCCUUGCCCCUCCCCGCCUGCUGAAACACAAUCUAUGGUUGUCGCCUUCCUGGAGAUGUUAGCCGCCCCCUCCAGAGGUGGUUCCAAAUCUAUUUCUCAUUUGGCUGAUUUAGGAGAGGCUGCGAAUCGGUCGCUAUGGUUUCUUUAUUUUCUCCUGACAGCUUAGGAAUCAUUUUUCCAAUUAUUCCCAGGGGAGGAAAAAGAAGUGGAGGAAGCCAGUGUUUGGAAUGAGGGGAAGCUCACGGAUCUGAAAUGCAACCUCUUCUGCAGGAGACCCGGCACAGCUACCGGGACCCAUCACCUCCCUGUAGGAACCCCGCCCAGCCCCCUCCAGCCAGCCCUGCGUGGUUGUGGCCCCACUGCAGAAACGCCUCCGCUUAACACUCCAGCCUCUCUUCUAUUCGGUCAGGCCACAGCUGCUGACUUUGUGCCUGCUGUAGCAACCCCGAGCCCCCAAAUAAACCCUCCCUCCCAGGGUGGCCUCUCUACGGGGGGAGACAGACGGUGACCAAAAGCUAUCAGUUAAAUGCACAAACAGGACUUAGAGGGUGGAAAGUGACAAGAAGAGAAAUAUGGCAGGAAAAAGGGGUGGGGGUGAAAUUUUACACAGAGCCAUGGGGAAGGCUGCUGAGGAGGACCUGCAGGAGUGGGGGGCUCCCAGACAGGAACUGUGGCCCACUGCACGGAUAUGGGCAAGUUUGGAAGGGAAUGAGCCACUCCAAGCCUCAGCCUUGGCCAGCCAUUCUCAGGUCCAGGCAGGAAAGAUGCCAGCAGUCCCACAUCAGCUGAGGUGUUCAAACACAGUGGUGUCCCCUAAGCAGGGAGACUGCAGAGGGGAUUCAAGCCCUGGGCAGGGGGCUAAAGUAGGCCAAUCCUGGUUCUGCAACUGUCCCUGGCCCAGCAGCUUGUUGGCUGUGUAGCGUCUCAGGCACUCCCUAAAGGUCAAGGAGUCUUGGCCGAGACUUCGGCUCACCCCAGCCCAGCUUCUGCUCCUGGCCGGGAAUGGUGUUUCCUAACCACACGUCCAUGGAGCAGGAAGGUACGCCUCCACCCGCUCCCAUUCCUUCUCCACAGCUUGCCACAGGGCAGUGCUGGGUUUAGUUCCUCUCCUUAUUUAGAGCUGGGGCGUAUCAGGUGUGCAGCUGGACAGGUACCAGCCAAGGCAGAGAAUGCAAGUCAGCCACGGGUGGCAUGUCGGGAAGCACCAGAAGGUGCCAACUUUGGCAUCCAGGGCCUUCCUGGACCUGCUGAAAUUUGGUCUAAAUGUGCUCUUGUACCCGUGUGGAAGGGCUCAGUGCAGCCUGGGUCUGGGAUUUCAGGGAGCAGAGUAUGAUUCUGGAUGGGUGAUUUAGCCGCAAGUGAGAGUUUUUACUGAGCCCAGCAAUGGGCAGAGCAUGGUUCUGGGGGUGGCUGGCUUGGGGGCGACACAGACAGGUAAACCAGUUGUCCGUGUGAGUGGAGGGGGCAGAAGUUGAUAAGAGCAGGGAGUGACGGGCAGGGGGGUCUGGGAGCUCAUUUCUCAUAAUUAGGUGUUUUCAUGGUAGCUUUGUGCUGCCGCCGACAGAACCCCUUGUUGGGAUGAACUUGUAGUGGGAUGAUAUUUUAAUCUCCCAUAUUCUGUUAGUUUGCCAGAGCUGCCCUAACAAAGUACCACAAACUAGGUGGCUUGAAACAAUAGAAAUUCACUGCCUUGCAGUUCUGCAAGCCAAAAGUCUCUGAUCAAGGUGUGAGCAGGGAUGGUUCCUGCUGGGGCUGUGACGGAGACUCUAUUCCAGGCCUCCCCAGCUCUGGGUGGUUUUCUGGCCACCUUUGGCAUUCCUGGGCUUCUAGACACGUCACCUCAAUCUCUGCCUUCGUGUCCACGUGGCGGUCUCCCUGUGUGUGUGUCUGUGUCAAAAUUUCCCCUUUUUAUAAGGAUACAUUCAUAUUGGAUCAGGGCCCACCCUACUCCAGUAUGACAUCAUCUUAACUUAUCACAUCGGCAAUGACCUAGUUCCAAAUAAGGGUCCUUCGGAGGCACCGGGGGUUAGGACUUUGUAUUCGUUUGCGGGACUGCUAUAACAAAGUACUGCAGACCCAGGGGCUUAAACAAUAGAAAUGCAUUUCUGCCAGUUCUGGAAGCUGGAAGUCCACGACCAAGGGGUCCGCAGGGCUGGUUUCUUCCGAGGCUUCUCUCCUUGGCUUGCAGAGGAACGUCUCCUCCCCGUGUCUUCACCUGGCCUUUCCUCCGGGCAUGGCUAUGUCCAUAUCUUCCCUUCUCGUAAGGACUCCAGGCAGAUGGGAUUACAGCCCACCCACAUGACCUCAUUUUAACUUAAUUACACUACUUCUUUAAAGGCCCUUUCUCCAAAUGCAGUCACAUCCUGAGGUACAGGGGUUAGGGCUUCAACAUAUGGAUUUUGGAGAAACACAAUUCAGGUCAUAAGACUUCAACAUAUCUUUUUGGGGGAAACAGUUCAACUCAUAACACACACUGUGAAGCAGUUUUAUCUCUUGCUGCAAACAUUUCCUCAGCUCCCAUUCUGUGCUGGGCCCCGUGCUAGAAGCCGGGGGAGCCGUAGCAUCACCCUUCCAGGAGCCCCGUCUGCAAUGGGUGACAGACCAGUCGUGACUGUAGCUCGUGUGACAGCUGCCAAACUAGAGGCUCAAGGGUGAGGGGCUGGGAGAGCUGAGAGGAGCCACACUCGCUCUGUGGGGAAGUGAGGCAGGAAAAGGUAACUGGACAAGGCUGACUGGGAGGUGGCCAGACCAGCAGGAGGGUGGGGGUGUUUCAGGCAGGGGGGCCACACUUGCAGACGCUCAGAAGCACCAGGGAGCCUGGCACAUUCCGGAAACUGCAGCUGCUUCCUCCGAACCUUCUGGGCAUCUGCGAGGCCCUCCUGACCUGGAUCCCUAGCACCCCGACCCAGUUCUGUGAAGCGUGUCUCUGGGCGCUCCUGAAGGCAGGACUGAGAGCUCCUGUCCCUCCCCUUGCUCCGUUUCCAUGUUCUGGGAGGAAAGAAUGAAUGGAAGUUGCGAGAAACUGGGCUCACAUGUUCAGCAGUCGGCAUUGACUGAACAGUCCUGUGCCAGGUGCCUCACUUGCCUUGCAUUUUUUUUUUCAGUGUAAAUCCACCCUUUAUUGCCUCCAAAAAGAUAUUUUCUACAGCUUUACCCAGGUAUAACUGACAUUUAAUGAAGCAGUACAAUUUGAUGAGUUUGACAUGUCUACACCUGUGAAACCGCCCCCUGAAGCCAUGUGCCCCUCUGUCGCCCGUCCCUCCUGCCCCUGCCCACCCUCUCUCUCCAGACAGACUCUGAUCUGCCUCUGUCACUGUGAUGAGUGUGCAUUUUCUAGAAACAUCUGAAUGGAAUCAUUCUUCACACACUCUUCUCCCAUCUAGUAUAAGGAGGUGACGUGGAACUUUCUGAGAAAUGGUCAAACUGUUUUCCAAGGGGGCUAUGCUGUUUUCCGUUCCCGCCAGAGAGGAGUGGGGAGGUCAGGGGGGCAGCUGCCGUUCCGGCCAGCACUGAUUGUCUGUCACUGUCGCCGUGGGCGUGUGGUGGCAUCUCACUGUGGCUUUCAUUUGCAUUUCCUGGUGGCGAAUGACUCCGAGGUUUGGUUCUCACGGCCUGCCCGUGAGGUAGGAGGUGUUGGCCCAGUUUCCCAGGGAGGAGGCUCAGGAGCAGAGCCAUGGGGUAACCUGCCCGAGGCCACCCCGCCCCGAAUGGGAGAACCGAAGCUGUCCCUGUUGCUCACCUUCUUCUUUCCUGAGCUGGUAGAUCUCUUGUGACCCCAUUAACUCUGAGCCCCACCGGGUGUCCGGUCAGGGCAAGGGACAAGCUGAGGGAGGAAGAAGGAGCCGCCAGCUUCCCCGCCCCAGGCUCUCUGUCUUCAAAAGCAGCAAACACGCCCGGCCCUCAGCAUGGAGCCUGGCCAGGGGCCCCUUCUUUUCUAUCAGCCUCAAGUCACUAGACGCCCAUAGCGCGCUCCUCUUCUCUUCUAUCAGCAGGAGCAGAGUCCCCCAGCGAAGUCUCCCCGCUCCCCACAGAGCCCCUCCAGCCCGGCUCCCUCAUCCCUGGAGAGGAUCCCAAUCUCCUCAGAACUCACCCUCCCACGGCUGCCUCUGCUGUGGGGACUCCCGAGGCUGUGGACAAGUGGCUGGAGGCACCCCCCGUCGGAGGGGCGGGUGGCAGGAGCGCCUCUGGGGCGGGGCAGCCACCUGGGGAAGAAAAGGGGGGGCCACGGGGCCCUUGGGUGCCCGGCCCGCCCCAUACACAAGGCCAGCUUCCCUCUUAGCACACAGGGCUGUGUCCCUGACACAGAUUAACCAGACCCCAGAGCGGGGGAGUUGAUGGCUCUGAGAUAAGCUUGUGCCCCCCACCCCAAGUCAUGGUGUCAAAUCUAACUUAAGGGGUUUCUCAGCCAAAAUGCCGUUUGCCACCAGGACUGUCCCAACAAAGGACUUUCCCUCUCCCCUUGGCUACUCUUUCUCUUGGUCUUGGUCCUUAUCGCGAUCCUCAGCAGCACAGGCAGGCUGUGUGUGUGUGUGUGUGUGUGUGUGUCUGCACUUGCACACGUGGUGUGCCAGCAGCUGCGGAGUCAUUUGGGCCUGAGUUCUACGACUGAAUCCUGUUCCCCUGCGAGGCUUUGUCCCGUUAAUGAACUCUCUGUGAUUCAUUUCACUUCUCUGCAUAAUGGGCAUGACACAGCCUGGAAGUUGGGCGUGAUAAGUCAGUUAAAGGGGAAGUGUCAUGUCCAGAGCCUCUGCCUGAGCCUGCACCAAGCAGGCACCUCCACAGGUUUUCUCCCCACUUGUGCCCCUUACUUUUGCCCUGGCCUGCGUCCUGAGCCAAGGGACGGAAGGGAAGGUCUGUGGGUCGGUUCCAGGCGGGGGUAGAGCCCUGAGCUGAUGAGGGUUCUGAGCCUGGGGUCCACCCUGACAGUGGAGAACCUGCAAUGCUGGGCCAGGAGCCUGAACUUCAGGCUGCCAAAAGUAGAGUAACUCAGCAGGGGCGAGUUCCCAGGGCCCGUGUCCCCUUCCUUCUCCUCACCUCCAAUAGCAAAGGGAGGGGUCAGCGGCUGCCCGCCUGUGAUAAAUCCGAGAAGGAGCCCGGCCAGCCCAGAUGUAGAAAACGGCCGACUUGCUCUCGG